Molecule: ribosomal RNA, 253 nt
Filed under: uncultured bacterium
Lineage: Bacteria
Description: partial 16S ribosomal RNA
Rfam family: Bacterial small subunit ribosomal RNA
Source: RNAcentral
UACGGAGGAUGCAAGCGUUAUCCGGAUUUAUUGGGUUUAAAGGGUGCGUAGGCGGAUCAAUAAGUCAGUGGUGAAAACCUUCAGCUUAACUGGAGACUUGCCAUUGAUACUGUUGGUCUUGAGUAUGGUUAAGGUAGGCGGAAUGUGUAAUGUAGCGGUGAAAUGCUUAGAUAUUACACAGAACACCGAUUGCGAAGGCAGCUUACUGAGCCAUAACUGACGCUGAUGCACGAAAGCGUGGGGAGCGAACAGG